AUUGAACGCUGGCGGCAUGCCUUACACAUGCAAGUCGAACGGCAGCACGGGUGCUUGCACCUGGUGGCGAGCGGCGAACGGGUGAGUAAUACAUCGGAACAUGUCCUGUAGUGGGGGAUAGCCCGGCGAAAGCCGGAUUAAUACCGCAUACGAUCUACGGAUGAAAGCGGGGGACCUUCGGGCCUCGCGCUAUAGGGUUGGCCGAUAGCUGAUUAGCUAGUUGGUGGGGUAAAGGCCUACCAAGGCGACGAUCAGUAGCUGGUCUGAGAGGACGACCAGCCACACUGGGACUGAGACACGGCCCAGACUCCUACGGGAGGCAGCAGUGGGGAAUUUUGGACAAUGGGCGAAAGCCUGAUCCAGCAAUGCCGCGUGUGUGAAGAAGGCCUUCGGGUUGUAAAGCACUUUUGUCCGGAAAGAAAUCCUUGGCUCUAAUACAGUCGGGGGAUGACGGUACCGGAAGAAUAAGCACCGGCUAACUACGUG
RNAcentral lists this ribosomal RNA (486 nucleotides) under uncultured bacterium. RNAcentral describes it as "partial 16S ribosomal RNA". It matches the Rfam family "Bacterial small subunit ribosomal RNA", at positions 30 to 507 of the family's 1533-position model. The record is from RNAcentral.